AUCCUUCUGUUGUACAUAAACAUGAUGAUUUGUGUUUCAACACUCAUGUGUGAGACGUGCCUCUCACUAACGUUAUUACAAUGUUGGCACAUUACCUGUCUGACA
Molecule: small nucleolar RNA, 105 nt
Organism: Nomascus leucogenys (northern white-cheeked gibbon)
Lineage: Eukaryota; Metazoa; Chordata; Mammalia; Primates; Hylobatidae
Rfam family: Small nucleolar RNA U13
Source: Rfam